This 72-nucleotide transfer RNA is filed under the name Gaeumannomyces tritici R3-111a-1. Its description in RNAcentral is "Gaeumannomyces graminis var. tritici R3-111a-1 tRNA". It matches the Rfam family "tRNA". Rfam says of the family: Transfer RNA (tRNA) molecules are approximately 80 nucleotides in length. Their secondary structure includes four short double-helical elements and three loops (D, anti-codon, and T loops). Lineage: Eukaryota; Fungi; Ascomycota; Sordariomycetes; Magnaporthales; Magnaporthaceae. The record is from Rfam by way of RNAcentral.
GGUUGUAUAGCGCAAUAAUAGCGCACUUGUUCUUGUAACGGGAGGUUUUGGGUUUAACUUCCGGUGCAACCU